AGCAGUAGCCACGGUAAUACGUAGGUGGCAAGCGUUGUCCGGAAUUAUUGGGCGUAAAGGGCUCGCAGGCGGUUUCUUAAGUCUGAUGUGAAAGCCCCCGGCUCAACCGGGGAGGGUCAUUGGAAACUGGGAAACUUGAGUGCAGAAGAGGAGAGUGGAAUUCCACGUGUAGCGGUGAAAUGCAUAGAGAUGUGGAGGAACACCAGUGGCGAAGGCGACUCUCUGGUCUGUAACUGACGCUGAGGAGCGAAAGCGUGGGGAGCGAACAGGAUUAGAUACCCCCGUAGUCCCUGUCUCUUAUAC
RNAcentral lists this ribosomal RNA (303 nucleotides) under uncultured bacterium. RNAcentral's name for it is "partial 16S ribosomal RNA". It matches the Rfam family "Bacterial small subunit ribosomal RNA", at positions 507 to 807 of the family's 1533-position model. The record is from RNAcentral.